Molecule: ribosomal RNA, 273 nt
Filed under: uncultured bacterium
Lineage: Bacteria
Description: partial 16S ribosomal RNA
Rfam family: Bacterial small subunit ribosomal RNA
Source: RNAcentral
AUACAGAGGGUGCGAGCGUUAAUCGGAAUUACUGGGCGUAAAGCGCGCGUAGGCGGCUUAUUAAGUCAGAUGUGAAAUCCCCGGGCUCAACCUGGGAACUGCAUCUGAUACUGGUAAGCUAGAGUUUUGGAGAGGGAAGUAGAAUUUCAGGUGUAGCGGUGAAAUGCAUAGAGAUCUGAAGGAAUACCAGUGGCGAAGGCGACUUCCUGGCCAAAAACUGACGCUGAGGUGCGAAAGCGUGGGUAGCAAACGGGAUUAGAUACCCGUGUGUCC